RNAcentral lists this ribosomal RNA (147 nucleotides) under uncultured bacterium. RNAcentral's name for it is "partial 16S ribosomal RNA". It matches the Rfam family "Bacterial small subunit ribosomal RNA", at positions 340 to 504 of the family's 1533-position model. The record is from RNAcentral.
UACGGGAGGCAGCAGUGGGGAAUAUUGGACAAUGGGCGCAAGCCUGAUCCAGCCAUGCCGCGUGAGUGAUGAAGGCCCUAGGGUUGUAAAGCUCUUUUGUGCGGGAAGAUAAUGACGGUACCGCAAGAAUAAGCCCCGGCUAACUUC